UAGGGAAUCUUCCACAAUGGACGCAAGUCUGAUGGAGCAACGCCGCGUGAGUGAAGAAGGUUUUCGGAUCGUAAAGCUCUGUUGUUGGUGAAGAAGGAUAGAGGCAGUAACUGGUCUUUAUUUGACGGUAAUCAACCAGAAAGUCACGGCUAACUACGUGCCAGCCGCGGUAAUACGUAGGUGGCAAGCGUUGUCCGGAUUUAUUGGGCGUAAAGCGAGCGCAGGCGGAAUGAUAAGUCUGAUGUGAAAGCCCACGGCUCAACCGUGGAACUGCAUCGGAAACUGUCAUUCUUGAGUGCAGAAGAGGAGAGUGGAAUUCCAUGUGUAGCGGUGGAAUGCGUAGAUAUAUGGAAGAACACCAGUGGCGAAGGCGGCUCUCUGGUCUGCAACUGACGCUGAGGCUCGAAAGCAUGGGUAGCGAACAGG
RNAcentral lists this ribosomal RNA (426 nucleotides) under bacterium. RNAcentral describes it as "partial 16S ribosomal RNA". It matches the Rfam family "Bacterial small subunit ribosomal RNA", at positions 355 to 776 of the family's 1533-position model. The record is from RNAcentral.